AUUGAACGCUAGCGGGAUGCUUUACACAUGCAAGUCGAACGGUAGCACGAAGAAAGCUUGCUUUCUUUGGUGACGAGUGGCGAACGGGUGAGUAAUGUAUCGGAACGUACCCAGUAGCGGGGGAUAACUACGCGAAAGCGUGGCUAAUACCGCAUACGCCCAACGGGGGAAAGGGGGGGAUCGCAAGACCUCUAACUAUUAGAGGGGCCGAUGUCGGAUUAGCUAGUUGGUGGGGUAAAGGUCCACCAAGACGACGAUCCGUAGCUGGUUUGGGAGAACGACCAGCCACACUGGGACUGAGACACGGCCCAGACUCCUACGGGAGGCAGCAGUGGGGAAUUUUGGACAAUGGGGGCAACCCUGAUUCAGCCAGCCCGCGUGUGCGAUGAAGGCCUUCGGGUUGUAAAGCACUUUUGGCAGAGAAGAAACGACUCUGGAUAAUACCCGGGGUUAAUGACGGUAUCUGCAGAAUAAGCACCGGCUAACUACGUGCCAGCCGCCGCCGUAA
Molecule: ribosomal RNA, 508 nt
Filed under: uncultured bacterium
Lineage: Bacteria
Description: partial 16S ribosomal RNA
Rfam family: Bacterial small subunit ribosomal RNA
Source: RNAcentral